This 460-nucleotide ribosomal RNA is filed under the name uncultured bacterium. Its description in RNAcentral is "partial 16S ribosomal RNA". It matches the Rfam family "Bacterial small subunit ribosomal RNA", at positions 338 to 795 of the family's 1533-position model. The record is from RNAcentral.
CCUACGGGUGGCAGCAGUGAGGAAUAUUGGUCAAUGGGCGCGAGCCUGAACCAGCCAAGUCGCGUGCGGGAUGAAGGUUCUAUGGAUCGUAAACCUCUUUUAUAAGGGAAUAAAGUGUGGGACGUGUCCUAUUUUGUAUGUACCUUAUGAAUAAGGAUCGGCUAACUCCGUGCCAGCAGCCGCGGUAAUACGGAGGGUCCGAGCGUUAUCCGGAUUUAUUGGGUUUAAAGGGUGCGUAGGCGGCCUUUUAAGUCAGUGGUGAAAGUCUGUGGCUCAACCAUAGCAUUGCCGUUGGAACUGGGGGGCUUGAGUAUGUUUGAGGCAGGCGGAAUGCGUGGUGUAGCGGUGAAAUGCUUAGAUAUCACGAAGAACCCCGAUUGCGAAGGCAGCCUGCCAAGCCAUGACUGACGCUGAUGCACGAAAGCGUGGGGAUCGAACAGGAUUAGAUACCCGAGUAGUC